AGUGAACGCUGGCGGUAGGCCUAACACAUGCAAGUCGAACGGCAGCACAGUAAGAUUUUGCUCUUACGGGUGGCGAGUGGCGGACGGGUGAGGAAUAGAUCGGCAUCUACUUUGUCGGGGGGGAUAACGUAGGGAAACUGACGCUAAUACCUCAUACGACCUACGGCGGAAAGCAAGGGAUCUUCGGACCUUUCGCGAUUGAAUUAGCCGGUGCCGCAUUAGCUAGUUGGCGGGGUAAAGGCACACCAAGGCGACGAUGCGUAGCUGGCCUGAGAGGAUGAUCGGCCACACUGGAACUGAGACACGGUCCAGACUCCUACGGGAGGCAGCAGUAGGGAAUAUUGCGCAAUGGGCGAAAGCCUGAUGCAGCCACGCCGCGUGGGUGAUGAAGGCCUUCGGAUUGUAAAGCUCUGUUAUUAGGGAAGAACAGAUGUGUGUUUAUCCAUCGAUGUUCUGACGGUACCCAAACAGUAAGCCCCGGCUAACUUCGUG
Molecule: ribosomal RNA, 492 nt
Filed under: uncultured bacterium
Lineage: Bacteria
Description: partial 16S ribosomal RNA
Rfam family: Bacterial small subunit ribosomal RNA
Source: RNAcentral